Molecule: ribosomal RNA, 700 nt
Filed under: uncultured bacterium
Lineage: Bacteria
Description: bacterial SSU rRNA
Rfam family: Bacterial small subunit ribosomal RNA
Source: RNAcentral
UGCAAGUCGAGCGAUGAAACUACUUCGGUAGUGAAUUAGCGGCGAACGGGUGAGGAACACGUGAGGAAUCUGCCUUCUACACUGGGAUAACUCCGGGAAACCGGGGCUAAUACCGGAUAUGAAACUUGGUGGCAUCACCGAGUUUGGAAAGUUUUUCGGUAGAAGAUGACCUCGCGGCCUAUCAGCUUGUUGGUGAGGUAAUGGCUCACCAAGGCGACGACGGGUAGCCGGCCUGAGAGGGCGACCGGCCACACUGGGACUGAGACACGGCCCAGACUCCUACGGGAGGCAGCAGUGGGGAAUAUUGGGCAAUGGAGGAAACUCUGACCCAGCGACGCCGCGUGCGGGAUGAAGGCCUUCGGGUUGUAAACCGCUUUCAGUAGGGAAGAAGCGAAAGUGACGGUACCUACAGGGGGAGGGGCCGGCUAACUAUGUGCCAGCAGCCGCGGUAAUACAUAGGGUGCAAGCGUUGUCCGGAAUUAUUGGGCGUAAAGAGCUCGUAGGUGGUUCGUUACGUCGGAUGUGAAAAUCUGGGGCUCAACCCCAGACCUGCAUCCGAUACGGUCGAGCUAGAGUUUGGUAGGGGAGACUGGAAUUCCUGGUGUAGCGGUGGAAUGCGCAGAUAUCAGGAGGAACACCAAUGGCGAAGGCAGGUCUCUGGGCCAAUACUGACACUGAGGAGCGAAAGCGUGGGGAGCGA